RNAcentral lists this ribosomal RNA (253 nucleotides) under uncultured bacterium. RNAcentral's name for it is "partial 16S ribosomal RNA". It matches the Rfam family "Bacterial small subunit ribosomal RNA", at positions 524 to 776 of the family's 1533-position model. The record is from RNAcentral.
UACGUAGGGUGCGAGCGUUAAUCGGAAUUACUGGGCGUAAAGCGUGCGCAGGCGGUUAUGCAAGACAGAUGUGAAAUCCCCGGGCUUAACCUGGGAACCGCAUUUGUGACUGCAUAGCUGGAGUACGGCAGAGGGGGAUGGAAUUCCGCGUGUAGCAGUGAAAUGCGUAGAUAUGCGGAGGAACACCGAUGGCGAAGGCAGUCCCCUGGGCCUGUACUGACGCUCAUGCACGAAAGCGUGGGGGGCAAACAGG